This 491-nucleotide ribosomal RNA is filed under the name uncultured bacterium. RNAcentral's name for it is "bacterial SSU rRNA". It matches the Rfam family "Bacterial small subunit ribosomal RNA", at positions 29 to 517 of the family's 1533-position model. The record is from RNAcentral.
AAUGAACGCUGGCGGUGUGCUUAACACAUGCAAGUCGAGCGCGAAAGUUCCUUCGGGAAUAAGUAGAGCGGCGAACGGGUGAGUAACACGUGAGAAUCUGCCCUUUAGUGAGGAAUAUGUCCGGGAAACUGGAUUUAAUACUGCAUACGUCCCUGCGGGGAGAAAGAUGGCUUUUAUGCUGUCGCUGAAGGAUGAGCUCGCGCAUUAUUAGCUAGUUGGUGGGGUAAAGGCCUACCAAGGCGAUGAUAAUUAGCCGGCCUGAGAGGGUGAACGGCCACAUUGGGACUGAGACACGGCCCAGACUCCUACGGGAGGCAGCAGUGAGGAAUAUUGCGCAAUGGACGAAAGUCUGACGCAGCGACACCGCGUGAAGGAUGAAGGUUCUAGGAUCGUAAACUUCUGUUAAACAGGAAGAAAGACCUGCGGGUAAUAUACGCAGGAGAUGACGUUACUGUUAAAGAAAGCACCGGCUAACUUCGUGCCAGCAGCCG